RNAcentral lists this ribosomal RNA (497 nucleotides) under uncultured bacterium. Its description in RNAcentral is "partial 16S ribosomal RNA". It matches the Rfam family "Bacterial small subunit ribosomal RNA", at positions 28 to 507 of the family's 1533-position model. The record is from RNAcentral.
GAUGAACGCUGGCGGCGUGCCUAAUACAUGCAAGUCGAGCGAACAGACGCGGAGCUUGCUCCUCUGACGUUAGCGGCGGACGGGUGAGUAACACGUGGAUAACCUCCCUCUAAGACUGGGAUAACUUCGGGAAACCGGAGCUAAUACCGGAUAAUAUCUUGAACCGCAUGGUUCAAUAGUGAAAGACGGUUUUGCUGUCACUUAUAGAUGGAUCCGCGCCGCAUUAGCUAGUUGGUAAGGUAACGGCUUAACAAGGCGACGAUGCGUAGCCGACCUGAGAGGGUGAUCGGCCACACUGGAAGUGAGACACGGUCCAGACUCCGACGGGAGGCAGCAGUAGGGAAGCUGCCGCAAUGGGCGAAAGCCUGACGGAGCAACGCCGCGGAUGUGAUGAAGGUCUGCGGAUCGUAAAACUCUGUGAUUAGUAAAGAACAAAUGGGUAAGUAACUAUGCACGUCGUGACGGUACCUGAACAGAAAGCCCCGGCUAACUACGUG